RNAcentral lists this long non-coding RNA (4224 nucleotides) under Homo sapiens (human). Its description in RNAcentral is "HSALNT0087231". Lineage: Eukaryota; Metazoa; Chordata; Mammalia; Primates; Hominidae. The record is from RNAcentral.
UUCUUUUGUGUUUUUCUUGUCUAAAAGUUGUGAUGAUAAAAAAUAAACAUUCUCAAAAUAUCCUAAAAACAAAAUAUAUCUUGAAUAUUUACAUGUUUUAUUAAGGAAUCUAGAUUCAUUUCUUUCUUUUUUUUUUUUUUUUUCUGAGACGGAGUCUUGCUCUGUCGCUCAGGCUGGAGUGUGGUGGCGCGAUCUCGGCUCACUGCAAGCUCUGCCUCCCAGGUUCACACCAUCCUCCUGCCUCAGCCUCCAGAGUAGCUGGGACUACAGGCACCUGCCACCACGCCCGGCUAGUUUUUUUGUAUUUUUAUUAGAGAUGGGGUUUCACUGUGUUAGCCAGGAUGGUCUCAAUCUCCUAACCUCGUGAUCCGACCACCUCGGCCUCCGAAAGUGCUGGGAUUACAGGCAUGAGCCACCGUGCCCGGCCUAGAUUCAUUUCUUUAAGAACAUUAUUUUUAAAAAGGAUGUAAUAAGUUUGUAGACAUAAAAUUGAAUGUGAUAUCACUCAUAUUUCCUUUUCUGGUUUUUAGGAAAAGAAACAGCACACUCAAAUAGUUUAAGCCUAUAGAGAUUUAUUAGGGGUUAAAGAUAACUUAAAAUUUGAUGGAAAGGUGAAGGCAGAUUUUCAACUGAACUUCAGGAAUGGCUCUCAGAACCAAACUGCAAAGAACCAAACUGCAAACUAGCUCCCUAAGGGUGAAACUCGGAAAUUUGAAAACACCGAAUCAGGUAAGUAUCACCCCAGCUGCCCUUUUUGAACUCUCGUGCAUGUUGGCUGUUGUGUUGGUAUACACAGGGCAAGGAGACAUUCCCAGAGUUGAGAGAGGCCAAAACACUGAGACCCACCUGCCUAAGAAUCAAUGACUGAACUUGCCAAGAUGCCGCAGUUCCUUCAAGAAGACACAGAUGCUGCAUCCCAAUGGAGCUUACAUUAGCUAAAAGCCAGCACUUGGGGAGGUGGACAGACACAUGUCCAGAGUGCCUUGGAGAGCACAGGCCACCGCUGAAGCUGUGAAAAAAGGCUAAAUACAUGGUGGAAGCAGGAAAGGAAAGGAACCCCAGACUUGCUCCUGGCUCACAGUACUACCUGCUUCCCCAUGCAGAGACACCCCAGUGAGGGCCCUCAUAUUGCCCUUGUGGACUUCACUGGGACUGAACCCUUCAGACCUAAGAGCUUCUAGGGCUCAGUUAUUGGAAACAUUUUCAGUUUUAUUCUUCUGAAUGACUUAAAGAUUUUUCAAUUAGAAAAACUCUCUUCAUGAAUGACAUGUACUAAUGUACUAAAGAACUUUGCUUCUAGAUCUAUUUAGAAUUGUCACACUUCUUCUACUACUGAUUACUACUGUAAUCUACUGGGAUUACAGGUGUGAGCCACUGCGCCUGGCUCAAAUGUGCUUUUCAAUAAAGGAUUGGGAAAAAAUAAGUUAGAGUGCAACUGCAAAUUCCAAAAUGAUUAAGCCCUUGGAAAUAAAAUGGGAUACAUGAUUUGAAAGAUAUCCAAGAGGUGGCAUGUGCAGUAAGAAGAACUCAGCAUUGGGCAGGCUGGUGGCUAUAGCACCAGUGCUGAGAGGGCAGGAUGUUAAGUAGGAAAGAAAAGCCUUUAGAGAAGGGCAGAGUUCCAGGAUCCCUGUCCAUAUGGACAACAUGACCCUAGUCUCUCAUGUCUGUCAGCUCUUGUGUCUUCUGGCUUUUCUUAGUCUCACUCAGCCACAUUGUUUGUAGCACUCACUUCCCUUGAAGGCACUUGAAACUGGGACAUCUGUCCACAGACAGGCCUGUCUGGACAGCCUUCCAAAAUGCUCAUGGCAAUGAGAAAGUCUCUGAGUCCCAGUCAUUUCCCUGCACACAGAGUAGUUCCCAUCUUAGCAAAACUGGGUGUUCUCUGAGUAUCACUCAGCACAUGGAAGCUGUCCAGACUUCUGUCCUGUGCAGGCAGGCAGUAACCUGGGAUCUCUGCUCUUGCAUGCAGAUAAACUUACAGUCCUUCAAAGCUUCAAGCUCCUAGAUGGUGAAACAAUACAUCUGUGCUGAGAGUGAGGAGAAGGAUGCAAUAGUCUUCCAGUUUUGUACUUUUACACUUCUGGGUCAUCAGAAACCAAAGAUUUGCCUUGGUUUCCCAAAGUGUUGGGAUUACAGGCAUGAUCCACCACGUCCAGCUUCAAUAAUUAUUAUUUUUUAUUUAUUUAUUUUGAGACAGAGUCUUGCUCUGUCACCCAGGCUAGACUGCAGUGGCGCCAUCUCGGCUCACUGCAAGCUCCACCUCCAAGGUUCACACCAUUCUCCUGCCUCAGCCUCCUGAGUAGCUGGGACUACAGGUGCCUGCCACCACACCCAGCUAAUUUUUUGUAUUUUUAGUAGAGACGGGGUUUCACCGUGUUAGCCAGGAUGGUCUCAAUCUGCUGACCUUGUGAUCCACCUGCCUCGGCCUCCUAAAGUACUGGGAUUACAGGCAUGAGCCUCCACACCCGGCCCUCAAUUAUUUUUGAUAGUUUUGUGUCAAUAUUUCCAUGAUAUAUAACAAUUCCUUAUUAUUCUAGCAAUCUUUUCCUCAUCAUUUUGUCUUAGUUCUACAUAAUUCUUAUACUGAGGAUUAAACUGAAGCAUGGCUCUAACCCUGAAACUUCUCUAAUAAUUUUUAAUCUCAAUGAUAUUGUUUGAAUAUUUGUCCCCCUCCAAAUCUCAUGUUGAAAUUUGGUUCGGGACAGAGCAGUGGCUUACACCUGUAAUCCCAGCACUUUGGGAAGCCAAGGUGGGAGGAUAGCUUGUGGCCAGGAGUUCAAGACCAGCCUGGGCAACACAGAGAGACCCCUGUCUUGAUAAAAAUAAAAAAGGCCAGGCGCGGUGGCUCACACCUGUAAUCCCAGCACUUUGGGAGGCUGAGGCGGGCGGAUCACAAGGUCAGGAGAUCAAGACCAUCUUGGCUAACACAGUGAAACCUCGUCCCUACUAAAAAUACACACACACACACACACACACACACAAAAUUACCCAGGCGUGGUGGCGGGCACCUGUAGUCCCAGCUACUUGGGAGGCUGAGGCGGGAGAAUGGCAUGAACCCAGGAGGUGGAGCUUGCAGUGAGCCAAGAUCGCGCCACUGCACUCCAGCCUGGGCAACAGAGUAAGACUCCAUCUCAAAAAAUAAAUAAAUAAAUAAAUAAAUAAAUAAAAUAAAAAAGAUUUUGAUAAUAUUGGAAGUGGGACCUAAAGGGAGGUGUUUGGGUCAUGGGGGUCGAGCUAUCAUGAAUGGCUUGGUGCAGCCCCCAAGUAAUAAGUAGGUUCUCACUCUAUUAGUACAUACAAUAAAAAGAGAACCAUGUCAAAAGGUACCUGAGAUACACCAAGAAAGCUCAAACUUGAAGACAUGUUUUUAAUAUGUAAAUGUGUAUGAAUGGAUACAUACAAGAUGUGUUUAAAAUCUGUUUGAGCUGCCACUGUCAGAUUCAAUGUAUAGCUAGCAUCAAUUUGCUGGGGUUAGAGGGCAUCAAGAUCUUCCCAGAAAUUCAGAGCCUUAGGUAAUCCAAAGGAAGAUUCUGUCAACAUUUAUACCUAAGCUUGACAGCCCUGAUGCCUCUUUGGACCUGGCUUGGAAAUAUGAUCCUCUAUUGUAGCAAUUGUACCUUGUUGCUGAAUGAUGUCAUCAUCCACAAGAUGGAUCCAUUCUUGAUUCUCACCCUAUUGACUUUUUUCCAUUGCAACCAUAACAUGGGCUAGCUGCUCUACACCUCUCCAGUGGACUUCAAGUGCUGCUGAGCUCAAAUAAAUCUUGUCUGUCCCACCAUUUUAACCAGACAGGCAGAGCUCUUCUGUCUUAAGUGUCUCAUAAAUCUUUCAAAUAGGUAAACUUCUAGUGCUAUGCUUCCUCUGACCGUUCUGCUAUUCUGUUUUCCUGUGCCAUGGUUUCUCAUUAGGUUUUCUACUGUUUUUUUGUUUGUUUGUUUGUUUGUUUUUCUUUUUGUUUUUGUUUUUGAGAUGGAGUUUCACUCUUGUCGCCCGGGCUAGAGUGCAAUGGCGCGUUCUCGGCUCACUGCCGCCUCUGCCUCUCGGGUUCAAGCAAUUCUCCUGUCUCAGCCUCCUGAGUACCUGGGAUUACAGGCACCCCCCACCAAGCCCAGGUAAUUUUUUUUUUUUUUUGUAUUUUUGGUAGAGACAGGGUUUCACCAUAUUGGCCAGGCCGGUCUCGAACUCCUGACCUCAGGUGAUCUGCCCACCUUGGCCUCCCAAAGU